RNAcentral lists this ribosomal RNA (728 nucleotides) under Lysinibacillus fusiformis. Its description in RNAcentral is "bacterial SSU rRNA". It matches the Rfam family "Bacterial small subunit ribosomal RNA", at positions 56 to 766 of the family's 1533-position model. Lineage: Bacteria; Bacillati; Bacillota; Bacilli; Caryophanales; Bacillaceae. The record is from RNAcentral.
UGCAGUCGAGCGAACAGAGAAGGAGCUUGCUCCUUCGACGUUAGCGGCGGACGGGUGAGUAACACGUGGGCAACCUACCCUAUAGUUUGGGAUAACUCCGGGAAACCGGGGCUAAUACCGAAUAAUUUGUUUCACCUCAUGGUGAAACACUGAAAGACGGUUUCGGCUGUCGCUAUAGGAUGGGCCCGCGGCGCAUUAGCUAGUUGGUGAGGUAACGGCUCACCAAGGCGACGAUGCGUAGCCGACCUGAGAGGGUGAUCGGCCACACUGGGACUGAGACACGGCCCAGACUCCUACGGGAGGCAGCAGUAGGGAAUCUUCCACAAUGGGCGAAAGCCUGAUGGAGCAACGCCGCGUGAGUGAAGAAGGAUUUCGGUUCGUAAAACUCUGUUGUAAGGGAAGAACAAGUACAGUAGUAACUGGCUGUACCUUGACGGUACCUUAUUAGAAAGCCACGGCUAACUACGUGCCAGCAGCCGCGGUAAUACGUAGGUGGCAAGCGUUGUCCGGAAUUAUUGGGCGUAAAGCGCGCGCAGGUGGUUUCUUAAGUCUGAUGUGAAAGCCCACGGCUCAACCGUGGAGGGUCAUUGGAAACUGGGAGACUUGAGUGCAGAAGAGGAUAGUGGAAUUCCAAGUGUAGCGGUGAAAUGCGUAGAGAUUUGGAGGAACACCAGUGGCGAAGGCGACUAUCUGGUCUGUAACUGACACUGAGGCGCGAAAGCGUGGGG